This 415-nucleotide ribosomal RNA is filed under the name uncultured bacterium. RNAcentral describes it as "bacterial SSU rRNA". It matches the Rfam family "Bacterial small subunit ribosomal RNA", at positions 28 to 418 of the family's 1533-position model. The record is from RNAcentral.
GACGAACGCUGGCGGCGUGCUUAACACAUGCAAGUCGAACGAGAAGAGAUGAGAAGCUUGCUUCUUAUUGAUUCGAGUGGCAAACGGGUGAGUAACGCGUAAGCAACCUGCCCUUCAGAUGGGGGACAACAGCUGGAAACGGCUGCUAAUACCGAAUACGUUCUUUUGUCGCAUGGCAGAGGGAAGAAAGGGAGGCUCUUCGGAGCUUUCGCUGAAGGAGGGGCUUGCGUCUCGAUUAGCUAGUUGGAGGGGUAACGGCCCGACCAAGGCGACGAUCAGUAGCCGGUCUGAGAGGAUGAACGGCCACAUUGGGACUGAGACACGGCCCAGACUCCUACGGGAGGCAGCAGUGGGGAAUCUUACCGCCAAUGGACGAAAGUCUGACGGAGCAACGCCGCGUGACGAUGACGGCCUC